GAUGAACGCUGGCGGCGUGCCUAAUACAUGCAAGUCGAGCGAACGGACGAGAAGCUUGCUUCUCUGAUGUUAGCGGCGGACGGGUGAGUAACACGUGGAUAACCUACCUAUAAGACUGGGAUAACUUCGGGAAACCGGAGCUAAUACCGGAUAAUAUUUUGAACCGCAUGGUCAAAAGUGAAAGACGGUCUUGCUGUCACCUAUAGAUGGAUCCGCGCCGCAUUAGCUAGUUGGUAAGGUAACGGCUUACCAAGGCAACGAUGCAUAGCCGACCUGAGAGGGUGAUCGGCCACACUGGAACUGAGACACGGUCCAGACUCCUACGGGAGGCAGCAGUAGGGAAUCUUCCGCAAUGGGCGAAAGCCUGACGGAGCAACGCCGCGUGAGUGAUGAAGGUCUUCGGAUCGUAAAACUCUGUUAUUAGGGAAGAACAUAUGUGUAAGUAACUGUGCACAUCUUGACGGUACCUAAUCAGAAAGCCACGGCUAACUACGUG
Molecule: ribosomal RNA, 496 nt
Filed under: uncultured bacterium
Lineage: Bacteria
Description: partial 16S ribosomal RNA
Rfam family: Bacterial small subunit ribosomal RNA
Source: RNAcentral